Long non-coding RNA from Oncorhynchus mykiss (rainbow trout), 738 nucleotides. RefSeq lists it as uncharacterized. Lineage: Eukaryota; Metazoa; Chordata; Actinopteri; Salmoniformes; Salmonidae. The record is from RefSeq and is a predicted model, not a curated record.
CAGAACGAAUGUAUUUGCACUUGAGCAUUUAGGCCUAUUUUUUUUUUCUUAUUUUAAUUAGUUAAUUAUGUUCAUUUAAAUAUUUUGAAUAUUUAUAUCUUAAUUUUCGUUUCAAAUUUUAUAAAUAGAUUCGGCUCUUCUGAAAUGCGAGCCGGCUCCUAACGUUCACCUACAAGACUCGUUCGUGAACGGCCCAAAGCAGUCUGGACUGGUUGAAGCAGAGUGGGAAGGAUUAUUUUGAAAGUGUUUCAGUCUGCCGUGAAUCAUCAUAAUCCAUACACUGCAUAAACCUGCUCUCCGCCACCAGCAAAAGGAGAUGAUUGAGGGUGAACAUGCAACACAUCAGCCUGGUGGUGUUGUGGCCAUGGAGCUUUCACUCAGAUGGAACCAGGUUACAGCUGCUGUGCAACGUUGACGUCCUUCCUCCCAGACAUGUGAAUGCAUCCCCUGGACUGGACACAACCCGGCAAACAUAUUUUUGAGAAGAUCAGGACUUUUGCAAUGAAAAGGCCAUGGACAUUAUAUGUCCUGAUCCAAAGGGCAGAAUAGAAUAUAUGCUCUCAGGCUAGAUUCCUUUGUUCAUAUCAUAACAUGACCUGAACCAAAGUUAUUCUAAGGAUCUUGUGAUAUAGGCCUAGGUCAAUAUAUUGUUUUUACCUAAGCCUUUGUGUUUGUGUGUUUUUAAGUUUUUUGUAAUUGCAGGCUACUACCUUUAGCACUUGAAGUUAAUAAAGUAUU